This 652-nucleotide long non-coding RNA is filed under the name Phoenix dactylifera (date palm). Its description in RNAcentral is "long non-coding RNA (PDAC_LNC016301)". The record is from RNAcentral. Lineage: Eukaryota; Viridiplantae; Streptophyta; Magnoliopsida; Arecales; Arecaceae.
AGGAUUUAGCUUCAUAGUACUUUCUUGGGGUAGAAUCUCCUAUGAAUCUAGCCAGAGGAGCGCUCAUCCUUUGGAAGGCAUACAACAUAAGGUAUCAGCCGAGCUUUCAUGAUGUACUAAAGUCCUUUUUUUAAAACCUUGCAAUGAUGAGGGAAAUAGCUACAGCGUCGUCAUAAAGAGGGCUCAACACCCUUUUGGUCUUCAUCAGAAAAGGAGAUGUGACUUUCACAGUGCACGGAUGCUUUGAGGAAGCUCUUUUUUCCGAGCUCGGAGCUUCUGGUGCCUCUAGUUGCCCGCCCUCUGAUGGUAUUGAUGAUGCCCGUGAGAGGUCAGUGGUCAUUCUGCUCCCUAUGGGGCAUUGGAUUUUGUUCCUCGGGCUCUCUCCUGUAGGCAUGAUCACGGACAAAAUAACUCAACCGACCUCGGCGGACAAGUGCCUCGAUCUCAUCACGAAGCUCGUAGCAAUCCUCCGUAUCAUGGCCGCGAUCUCGGUGGAAGCGGCAGUACUUUUUCGAGUGCUUCCGCGACUCUGUCGGACGCAUUCUCAAUGGAGGUCGGAGGUAGCCCCGACCCUCAAUCUCCAUGAGGAUUUCUGCUCGGGUGGAUAUGAGAGGAGUGUACGUCUGAAAUUUUUGGAGGGGAGACCCCGGGC